This 228-nucleotide long non-coding RNA is filed under the name Elaeis guineensis (African oil palm). Its description in RNAcentral is "long non-coding RNA (EGUI_LNC041456)". Lineage: Eukaryota; Viridiplantae; Streptophyta; Magnoliopsida; Arecales; Arecaceae. The record is from RNAcentral.
UGAGACUUUUUGAUCAAUUAGCUCUAAAACUAUACUCAACUUUUGAUACUGGCUAUCAAAGUUAGAUCUAAUAAUAUUUUCAUUAUCUAACAGCGAAAAGAGCAACAAUUUUCUAGCCAUUUCUAAAAAAAAAAUAAUUGACCUAUCAGUAUAUGAACUAUUUUAAGCUUAAAGAUUUGGACUUUAGUUUAAAGAUUUUCUCACUAUUUUAUACAAAUUGAUAGUCUC